RNAcentral lists this ribosomal RNA (124 nucleotides) under uncultured bacterium. RNAcentral describes it as "partial 16S ribosomal RNA". The record is from RNAcentral.
CGUCAAGUACUCAUCCGUAUUAAGGAUAAGCCUUCCUCCCUACUGAAAGUGCUUACAACCAAGGCCUUCUUCACACACGCGGCAUGGCUGGAUCAGGGUUGCCCCCAUUGUCCAAGAUUCCCCA